Molecule: non-coding RNA, 217 nt
Organism: Cinara cedri
Lineage: Eukaryota; Metazoa; Arthropoda; Insecta; Hemiptera; Aphididae
Source: the annotation of a GenBank genome assembly
GAUUCUGCCCGCUACGGGAUCUCGGUUCCUUGCGGGUACGAUUCGCGUCCUCCAGGUGCAGAUCUGGAGGUAAAAGACCGCGGUGAUGACACCGUUUCAUCCGCCCUAAGCGUGAGACCUGCCGGUGACCCGAUCGUUCCGCGAUCAUGGGUCAUUCCAGCAACGAUGAUCUGCUUGCGGAAUAUACCCGUCGUGGUGGAUGGACGUUCUGAGCGGU